UACGUAGGGCGCAAGCGUUAUCCGGAAUUAUUGGGCGUAAAGGGCGCGUAGGCGGCUAGAUGUGUCAAAGGUGAAAUCCCUCGGCUCAACUGAGGAACUGCCUUUGAAACUGUCUGGCUUGAGGCCGGGAGAGGGUAGCGGAAUUCCCAGUGUAGCGGUGAAAUGCGUAGAGAUUGGGAAGAACACCGGUGGCGGAAGCGCUCUACUGGGCCUGCACUGACACUCAUGGACGAAAGCUAGGGGAGCGAAAGGG
This 253-nucleotide ribosomal RNA is filed under the name uncultured bacterium. RNAcentral describes it as "partial 16S ribosomal RNA". It matches the Rfam family "Bacterial small subunit ribosomal RNA", at positions 524 to 776 of the family's 1533-position model. The record is from RNAcentral.